Larimichthys crocea (large yellow croaker) is the source of this 698-nucleotide long non-coding RNA. RefSeq lists it as uncharacterized. Lineage: Eukaryota; Metazoa; Chordata; Actinopteri; Sciaenidae. The record is from RefSeq and is a predicted model, not a curated record. The transcript is spliced from 4 exons.
GACAUAUAUAGAAGACUAGAUACAUUAAGGCGGGGCGUAGAACGUCCUCACAGGUCGGCCAUCUUGGAACAGUAAAGCUUUCUGGCGGGCAGAAGUGGAACCUGAGGUAAACCAAUGAGAUGCCAGACUUUUGUGCAGCCUAUGGGUGUGCUAAUCACCGUUGUCUUGAAACGAGAAAACGCGGGAUCACCUUUCACCGGUAAGAUAGCAUCCACAGCUUCAUUAUUAUUUCUAGAAUUAUCGUUAGUUACCAGUGGAAGUAUGUUAAAAUGCAGUUCUUGUAACUCGGGAACAGCGUAUGUAUAUGAAAUCGACAGCCACUAUUAUAUUUGACCAGCAUUUGACUGGUUGCUAGUGCUAAUUGCCAUCCCUGAUCUGGGUACAUUUCCAAGUUUUGCGGCUUCUGCCAGGACACUGCUCUGUAGUGAGCACUUUAGGAGCGAGGACUUCGACAGGACGGGGCAGAUUGUCCGGCUUAGAGAUGGUGUUGUGCCAACCAUUUUCAACCUCCCAGCUCAUCUUCAAAGGUCGGAAACAAGAAGAAGCACAUCCACUUCUAGGAGAGCGGAAGACAACCUGCCGAAUUCGAUGGACCUGAUACCUGAUGGAUCCGCUGAAGAGAGAUCGAGGCUCAAGGAGCAGCGCAAGCAGCAGGCCACUGAGCACUCAUAUGCAUUGCCUGGUUCCCCUGAGGCUCU